RNAcentral lists this ribosomal RNA (256 nucleotides) under uncultured bacterium. RNAcentral's name for it is "partial 16S ribosomal RNA". It matches the Rfam family "Bacterial small subunit ribosomal RNA", at positions 524 to 776 of the family's 1533-position model. The record is from RNAcentral.
UACGUAGGGGGCAAGCGUUGUCCGGAUUUAUUGGGCGUAAAGAGCGUGUAGGCGGCCUUACAGGUCAGCUGUGAAAACUCGAGGCUCAACCUCGAGACGUCGGUUGAAACCGUAAGGCUAGAGUCCGGAAGAGGAGAGUGGAAUUCCCGGUGUAGCGGUGAAAUGCGCAGGUAUCGGGAAGAACACCAAUAAAGGCGAAGGCAGUUAACUAUUCUAUUCCUGACAUUGAGGCAUGAAAGCGUGGGGAGCAAAACGG